This 5888-nucleotide small RNA is filed under the name Pongo abelii (Sumatran orangutan). Its description in RNAcentral is "retained intron". The record is from RNAcentral. Lineage: Eukaryota; Metazoa; Chordata; Mammalia; Primates; Hominidae.
CCGGACUUUGCGAGCAGCCUGGAGAGGAUCCGCGACCGCCGCGGAGGCUUCGGGGCUGCUUCCCUCGCGCUUAGCCCGCAGCGCGGGUGGAGAGGGGCGGGGAGGGGGUCGGGGGCACGAGAAGAACUUGAAACUGUGUGAAGGAAUCCGGAGCAGAUGAGAAGGGAGGAAAAUAAAACAAAGUGGAGGCUGCGGAACAGACUCCACUGUGGCUGACUGUGCCGGCUGACGCUCCAGCAGAGGGGCUGGGUUGGAUAUUUUUUCUCCCAUCCUCUCGCUCUCUCUUUUAAAGCUACACCAGCUCUCUCUCUUUCUCUACUAUCUCUGUAUCACCAAAUCCUUGCUGGCUCUUAUGGGCAUGAAACACUCCUCCCGCUGCCUGCUCCUAAGGAGGAAAAUGGCGGAGAACGCGGCCGAGAACACCGAGGUGAACAGCCCCCCCUCCCAGCCCCCUCAGCCCGUCGUCCCUGCUAAGCCCGUGCAAUGCGUCCAUCAUGUGUCCACUCAACCCAGCUGCCCGGGACGGGGCAAGAUGUCCAAGCUGCUGAACCCAGAGGAGAUGACCUCGAGAGAUUAUUACUUCGACUCCUACGCCCACUUUGGGAUCCACGAGGAAAUGCUGAAGGAUGAGGUGCGGACACUCACUUACCGGAACUCCAUGUACCACAACAAGCACGUGUUCAAGGACAAAGUGGUACUGGAUGUGGGGAGUGGUACUGGGAUCCUUUCCAUGUUUGCUGCCAAGGCAGGGGCCAAGAAGGUGUUUGGGGUGAGCACGCCACUUCCUCCUGCAUGCUGGCUUCCACAGAGCCAGCCUCUUGCCCUCUGCCUCCACCUGCCCUUCUAGAAGUACAAAAUUUGGUCCAUCUCUUUUGCUGGGGUCACACCUUGGAGGAGUAGAAGGAAUCAGGUGUGACUCUCAGGAAGGGGUGCAGGCUGCCUGUCCCCUAUGCAUGGCUCCUGGAUCCUUACAACCACUGACAUAUUUGGAGGAAUUGUGGCUUUCCUGAGACCAUUACAAUGUCAUCAUGACCUUUCAGUGCUUAGCCCCAAGGUCAGCUUCAGAGGCAGUGCAGGUGGUUACUCGGGGGAGCUCUGGUUUGAAUCUCUGCAUUUCCAUUCACUAGGCAUGUGACCUUGGACUAUUCGCUUCUCUGCACCUCACUUUCUCUCCAUCUAUAAAAUGAGCUUAAUAGCAGUCCCUUGCCCAUAGGGUGACUGUGAGGAUUAAAGGAGUUUAAUACAUAUGUAAAGUGCUUAAAACAGUGCCCAGCAUAUGGCAAAUGCUCGAUGUCUAUUAUUAUAGUUGAGAUGGGGCCUUAGAGAUAAUGGGAACAUCUCCUUCUUGUUUUCUUUAGAGGGCAAGUCGGUCAACUUAAAUUCUGUUGCUUUGGCUGUGGCAGCGUUUCCAGGCUAGAUGUGGAGGCUGACCCUCUGGGAAGCCUGCUACCUAUCCCCUGGCUCUCCCAAGGCAGCUUUGCCCAGCCUGAUGACAGAGGGCCUGGGAAGGUCCAGAGCUGGAAAGAAACUAAAAAGAAGAGCUGCAAGAUGCUGGCUGACAUUUGAAAAAUGCAGUGGGCCCGGGCUGGAGCACAAGCAUUCAUCUUGGUCAAAAUGAAAGUCAAACCACAAUGAGAUUCCCAGUCUGCAUGUGAGCCGGCCCAUCUGCAGAGGCCGCAGCGACCUGAGCAGCAUUCAGUGGGUCUUUGCUCCCAUGCAUUUGGUUGGGCCAUCCCAUAGCCAGCCCUGGGGACCCCCCCGCCCACUGACUCCCAGGUUGACUAGAUCCCCUUGGUCCUCCUGGCCACCUGCUGCCUCCAGAGGUCUGCUCCUAAGUCACCCAGCAGGGCAGCAUUCCUCCUCCAAGCCUGACUUGGAAAACCCUUGGGCCAUGGCUGCCGAGGGUCUUCUGGAAGCUUGGGCUGCCCUCAAGCUGCCUCAGGUGCAGCUUUGACCAGGAAAAGCUGUGCUGUUCUCAGACGAGGCACUUGCUGGGGGCAGGGGCCCAUCCGGAUGCCCAAGGGCAAGUCAUGUCAUCAUCACUGGUAUAACUGCUGGUUCUCCAGGAUGGAGACCUCAGGCAAGGCUCUUAGUGAGGUCACAGAGCAUCAGAGCUGGACGUGAGUCCUCUGGUGACCCCCACGUGCUUUCUUUCCCAGCACGGAGGCCCCGUCUCAGUGCCGGCCUUGGUGGGGGACAGGGCUGAGCAUGGUGUCCCUGGCGCCUGAGUCAUCCGGGGGCUCCAGCCAAGGAGCUGUCAGGAGGAGGCUCCCACUUGGCGCCUUCCAGCUGCGGUGACUUGGCGCGAUCUGUCUGCCUCCCGCCCUUUUCUCUAACAGCUCUUUUAUAAAUGGCUCCACCACAUUUAGCUGGGCUCCUUUCCGGAUGGCUCAUUUCACAGUUUCUCCUGUUCCAGACCCCCUUCCACCCACUGCUGUCCUCCAGUGGGGAGACGAGAUGGCGGGAGAGAGAGACAGAGAGAGAGGGAGGGAGGAAGACCAUCGUCCCAGAGUGGAGACAGGCACAGAGAAAGAGACAGAUGUGACAAGAGCAAUGGAGAGGAGACAGAGAAAGAGAAAGGUGCAGAGAAAAGCUAGAGAAAUGGGAGAGGGGCCCGGAAAAGCAGAAAGAAGACAAAGUAGAAAGCACAAAAGAAAAGAAUCAGCAGAGGCGGGUGGAUCACCUGAGGUCAGGAGUUCAAGACCAGCCUGGCCAACGUGGCGAAACCCUGUCUCUACUAAAAAUACAAAAAUUAGCCAGGCUUGGUGGCGGGCGCCUGUAAUUCCAGCUACUUGGGAGACUGAGGCUGGAGAAUCGCUUGAACCCAGGAGGCGGAGGUUGCAGUGAGUCCAGAUCGCGCCAUUGCACUCCAGCCUGGGCGACAAAGUGAGACUUUGUCUCAAAAAAAAAAAAAAAAAAGAAUCAGAAAAGCGAAGACAGGUGGUAAAGAGAGAAGAGGGAAGAAAUGGAAGAGGAGAAGAUGGAAGAAAGGAAAACGAGGAGGGAAGGACACCGCCCUGCACUCUGAGUGUUGAGCAAGCUUCGGCUGAGUUUACCCUCACACACUCACGUGCAUUGGGGGCUUCGACUUCUCUCGGGAGGACACUGAGGCGCAGUUAGGAAGGGCAGUGGCCAGGCAUAAAUCCAGGCUGCCGGCUCCAGGUCUCAUGCUCCUCAUCACUCAACACGGUCGCCUCUUGCAGAUCAGAUGAUGACAUGGCCAGAGGGGAAGAAGAGGAGGGAAUCACACCCCACAGACAGUGCAGCCUGAAGGCCAGGGACCUGGCAGCCCAGGAAAGGGCUGGUUCUCCUGGGACCUGCACCCUGGCUGGAGUCGGCCUCCUUGGAUGCAGCUCUAACCAAGUGACCCCUUCUGACCCCGUAGGUGCCCUCACCCUUCCUCAAGGCGUGGCCAGAGGCGUCAGAAACUCCCUCAGUGCCCCUUUGCGAGUACUUCUCAAGGGAAUGGUCCCUGCCCGAGGCCUGGGGGUAGUCUGAGGGGCCCCCAAGUGUGGAGGUGAGUAGAGCCCAGGGCCUUAGCACAGGCCAGCCUCUGUAAGAGGGCCGGCUCCGGAGGUGAAGACGGCUCUUGGCAGCUGCCCCUCCAUGUCCAGAACCCCUGGCAGUGUGCCUGAGACGCUAACCCUGGGCUGGAGCUUGGCUUCCAACCAUUCCCAUGAGGGCCUGCUCUCAGGGAAGGUCCACUCAUCUCUCAAGUACCUUGGCCCUUUGCUUAGGAGGUCUGGAGAGCCUGGAAAGACGUCUGAAUUAAAAGGAAUAAUUUCUUUCAAAGAUGAAGCGGCGAGAGCUAAUGUAGGGGGUGGGAGGGGAAGAGAAAGAUCUAAAACCAGCCCUGAGGUCCUGACCUGGCUUUUUCCAGAUGGUCCCGUCCUGGCACGCGGCUCGUUUACCCUGGAAGGGCUGGGCUGCGGUGGGGAGGAUCAUGUCGAGGGAGGCUCGCAACUCUGGCUUGGAUCUGCCUUCCCGCGACCCCACUGUGGGGAGGACAUGCUGCCUCCUGCCAUUCUCUGCUGGCUAGGAGCAUGAGGUCUGCCAGCCCCUUUUGAGUCUCCAGCACAGAGAUCAAUCCCUCCAUCACGGGUGGUGACUGGAUGCCAGUCUUUUUGCAAAGGCAGCCCAAUUUCACGGAAGGCCGCUGGCCUUGAGGAGGGAGGGCUGGGUUUCGGUUUUCAAUCUGCCACAAAGUUGUGAUGCAGCCGUGGGCAAGUCACCACCCCUGUCUGGGCCUCAGCGUCUCUAUCCAUUGAAUCAGUGUGGGUCUUGCUGUGAUUUUUUUUGACGCCUUGCUCCUUUGUCCUGUGCCCUUUCCAGAUCGAAUGCUCCAGUAUUUCUGACUACUCAGAGAAGAUCAUUAAGGCCAACCACCUGGACAGCAUCAUCACCAUAUUUAAGGGUAAAGUGGAAGAGGUGGAGCUGCCUGUGGAGAAGGUGGACAUCAUCAUCAGCGAGUGGAUGGGCUACUGUCUGUUCUAUGAGUCCAUGCUCAACACGGUGAUCUUUGCCAGGGACAAGUGGCUGAAACCUGGAGGGCUUAUGUUUCCAGACCGGGCAGCUUUGUACGUGGUAGCGAUUGAAGACAGACAGUACAAGGACUUCAAAAUCCACUGGUGGGAGAAUGUCUAUGGCUUUGACAUGACCUGCAUCCGGGACGUGGCCAUGAAGGAGCCUCUAGUGGACAUCGUGGAUCCAAAGCAAGUGGUGACCAAUGCCUGUUUAAUAAAGGAGGUGGAUAUUUACACAGUGAAGACGGAAGAGCUAUCGUUCACAUCUGCAUUCUGCCUGCAGAUACAGCGCAACGACUACGUCCACGCCCUGGUCACCUAUUUUAAUAUUGAAUUUACCAAGUGCCACAAGAAAAUGGGGUUUUCCACAGCCCCUGAUGCUCCCUACACUCACUGGAAGCAGACCGUCUUCUACUUGGAAGAUUACCUCACUGUCCGGAGGGGGGAGGAAAUCUACGGGACCAUAUCAAUGAAGCCAAAUGCCAAAAAUGUGCGAGACCUCGAUUUCACAGUAGACUUGGAUUUUAAGGGACAGCUGUGUGAAACAUCUGUAUCUAAUGACUACAAAAUGCGUUAGCACACGUGGGAAGCUGCAGAGAGCAACGAGAAAAGGAACUCUCACCUCGAUCUGCCGUGCCGUCCCAAAGAAUACCGUUUGCAGGACUACACACUUGAAAACCAGAGUUUUCAACUCUGCCUUGAAGAUUGGUGAACCCCCCAGGGCUCCCGUGGGCUCUGCCACUGGACAGAAGGCCUCCAGCUCCUCCGCUCUGCCCUGAGAGCCCUUCACGAAGGCUUUGUGUUGCCAACAAAGAGCGACCUCGCGAGCUGUGGCUGGGCCCCGAGGGUGGAAACGUAUUCGCGUCUCCCCGUCUCCUCCUUAACUGUGACUCUCCGGGUCUUCUGAGUUUUGCAUGCUGCGGGUGUCUAGGACAGAUUGCUUCCACUAGAACCUGGAGACAUAGCAUCUUUGAUAGCAUAAGCCAGAUUAUCUGUGUGUGCGGUGGUGUGUGUGUGCGUGCAUGUGUGAAUGUGAGCAGUAUAGUUGAUGUUUACCCACAAAUACCUGUAUAUGCAUGCAUAUACAACCAAGUGGGUAGACCUAGGUGUUCACUCAGAAGGGUGUGUGCGUGUGUGCGUGCGCGUGUGCCUAGAAUAUAUAUUACUCUCAGAGGAGAUUCUGUUGCUUUUGAAUAGGAAUUUGUUUUGUGAUUAGUUUGGCCCUUCCCCACCCCUUACCAGAUGUUAAGCAGCUAUGAAACAUUCUCUGUACUAGUUCUGGUCUCCUUUUGACUGGACUGUGGCUCUGAACCUUGAGCAUAGUACCACGGACUCCGUGGGCGCUCAAUAAACACACAUGAGAAC